This is a small nuclear RNA of Vombatus ursinus (common wombat), 102 nucleotides long. The record is from Ensembl. NCBI's taxonomy places the organism in Eukaryota, Metazoa, Chordata, Mammalia, Diprotodontia, Vombatidae.
GUGCUAGCUUCGGCUGCACAUAUACUAAAAUUGGAACGACACAGAGAAGUAUGGCCCCUGCGCAAAGAUGACACGCAAAUUCGUGAAGUGUUCCAAGGGAAA